Pseudomyrmex gracilis is the source of this 2997-nucleotide RNA transcript. It is a transcript of the gene named popeye domain-containing protein 3-like, with no coding region annotated. NCBI's taxonomy places the organism in Eukaryota, Metazoa, Arthropoda, Insecta, Hymenoptera, Formicidae. The transcript has 10 exons. The record is from RefSeq and is a predicted model, not a curated record.
CUCGAUGUAGUAAUAACGCACAACGCGCUUACAACGCGAAUUCGAAAAAGCGUCUCCCGUGGAGAGCUCGUCUCUCGGUCGCGACGGUCGUUUUCUCCGAAAUAAGAUGAAAUUUGUAUAUUCGCGCGGAGGAACUUUCCACGAUGAAAACUUAAAGGUCGCCGUGCUCCGCACAUAUAUACGUCGCGAUGCGUGAUCUCGCGUAACGGUCGCUCGCGCGAAUCGCAGUCUCUCUCUCUCUCUCUCUUUGCGAAAGAAAAUCCGCGAUUUAUUUUCGCGUGCUCUAUAUCCGCAUUUUCGAAAUUAUUAAAGUGCAGAAAGUCGAACAUGAUAGGAGGUCUGUCCGAAUGAGAAUAGAGCUGUAAACAAAACUACUGUAUACACGCGUUUCUUCCGUGUAUGUGUGUGGUGUGUGGGUGCGAAAUUGGACUCGGGAAAACCGGAUUAAGUCGUUCCCACGGAUGAGACGCAAACCUUCGUUGUUGUGGAAAUGAGUGCGAAUAUAAAAAACAUCUCGCGGAGCUCUCUUUUGCCUGAUGUUAACAUUGUCUUCCCACAGCUACUGGUAAUGCCCUUUUUUAAUCAGAAGUCCGCAAGGUGGUCCUCCUUGUCCGGUUCUAAUUUUAGCUGAGAAUAAUACAGAAAUGUGAGCAGUGACUUCAUAUUCACAAAUGGCACAGAGCGUUCACUUUUACAUCAUUUGUGAAUAAAGAGAAGCAAAAUUGGUCUAGCUUGAUGGUAAUGCGGGGAUGUGGAUCUGCUUCAACCCGAUAGAAAGCCGAAUAGGCUGGGGUACUUCCAUUUUGUUCAUCGCGCUUCUAUAUUGGACCUCAAUCACCAUUGAUGCCAGUCUGACGAAUGUGGCUGCGUCCAAUGUUCCACGUAGCACUGUCACGUCGGAGGUAUCGCUUCCAGCGUCGGCACAUCAUGAGAACGACGAAUGUAGGAAUGUGACCACUGACAAUAGAGAAGGUACUGGACUGUCAGUGGUCAGCCAUGGAUCCGGUUAUCCUCAUUCGCCGAUAGUGCCUCCAACCUUUCUGAACGCAGCUCUUACCUGCCAACCCUAUCAAGGAAUUUAUGUGAACCACAUCUACUUUCAACUCGCAAAUGCCUUCUUCUUAUUGUCACAUCUUGCACCAAGCGGCAUACAUGGUGUACUCUAUUUAAGGUGCACUCUACUCGUGGGUUGUGCCUUUCUUGCUUUGUGGGGCUGGACAAUAGCUUGCUGGCUGGACGCUGCUCUCUGGAAUGCUCUCUUUGUUGCCAUCAACUUCGUCCAUGUAUGCACGCUUCUUUACAAGCUCAGGCCUAUCAAGUUUACAAGGGAAAUCGAAGAGGUCUACGUUGCAGUGUUCCAGCCGUUACGGGUGUCUCGUCAUCAGUUCAAAAAAGUAUUAAAUUGCAUGAAGGUCAUUCGCCAGUUGAAAUAUCAAGAGGUUUACGCACAAGAAAAAGUGACCAAAGUCGAUUCUUUAUCAUUAGUGCUGUCGGGAAAGCUAGUUGUCUCUCAAAAUGGAAGAGCAUUGCAUAUUGUCUUCCCACAUCAGUUCCUGGACUCUCCAGAAUGGUUUGGUGUCUCAACGGAUGAGUACUUCCAGGUAUCAAUAACAGCUAUGGAAGAAUCGAGAAUAUUAUUAUGGCAUAGAGACAAAUUAAAAUUAAGCAUUAUUAGCGAUCAAUUCCUGCAGGCAGUGUUUGAUCACAUUCUGGGCAGAGAUGUAGUUAAAAAAUUAAUGCAGGUCAGCGAAACAAUGGCUGCAAGCAGUCAUCAGCAGCAAAAUGGACAGAUAAUUGGUCUGGGUGGAAUCGGAGCCUUAGAAACUGACGCUGAUACGAAACUUUUUGUUGUAAAAAAGACUGGUGACAGUCAAGGAAUUACUGCUCUAAUCAGUCGUCAACUUCAAGAAGAAAGAAUGCCGCUGCUGUACACGAGCCAAGAAGUGUUGAACAAUACCCUGCAUCAUACGAACCGCCUACAUGUACCACCUUGUACAUUCCUUUCGCAUCCUGUGUCAAACAACGUUCAGAAUUUGCCGUAAUAUCCUUGUCUGCUGAUUUUGCUCAACGCUGUAGCACUAAACGGUAUGUGUUGUGUAUCGUAUGUGAUGUCCCUGCAAUGGAUACGUAUACAUUACACAAAAUGUCAUAGCGAUACUAUUUAUCGUUGUUCCUGAACACCGAGCGGCAGGAGAUCCGAACGCUUGGAGAUUGGGAAGAAUCGACGAGACUGAUCACGAAACACCUGUUUAAAGAAAAGAUCGUUAAAUCAAUGUUAUCCUCGACAGUCAAUAUAAACGUAACACCGGUGUUUUUACGCAUUGAGAUAACGACAAGCCUGGUAUAAUUCAUCGUGACUAGAAAAACAAAAAAAAAACAAAAAAAAACAAAACAAAGAAAAAUAAACCAACCGUGGCAUGUUGUUGAAACUGUGCUUAGAACAAUCGAACAUUCUCUCGCCAAUUAAUAAUUUUCCUGGUGGAUAGUCAAACCAAUGUAACGCGAUAAUAAGAAAAAAAAAACAAAUUCCAUUGUUUUGUAGUAAUAUAAUGAAUUCCACUAUAGUUUAUAAAGCAACUAACAAUAAGUUAACGCUUCCACUGUGUAUUCGUUGAGCAUGCGCGAGCUUACAUGGAGCCGAGGGGAGUAUGUAUCUAUUUAUUAUUUAUUUCGGUGAAAUUGACAUGGGUGUUGUAUGUGUGUGCGACAAUUUGAGAAUGUGAACAAUAUGGACUUCAAGAAGUACGCGGGUAUGAUAAAACGAGGAGGGGGUACGACACAAAAACGCUCGCGGCGACGUUAACAACUUCUCUGACCCGCGCACGCGAGAGUUCGCGUGUGACGUCGCGAGGCUGACUUUUAAAAAGAAACUGAUCGGGGGAGGCCUAAAGAAACUGAUUCUUUCCCAUACCCACAGAAAUAGUGCCUUUUUACUUACACUUCCUUUCUGAAUGUUUUCAUGUGAAAAAAAAAAAAAAAAAAAAAAAAAAAAAAAAU